UCGAUGUACUCGAAGUUGAUCGCCAGCAGGCCGUCUUCGGAACUGCCAUUGAUCGGGAAGAAGUGCAUGCCGUCGUGGUGCAUGCCCAUGGCAUUGGCC
RNAcentral lists this transfer RNA (99 nucleotides) under Pseudomonas sp. IsoF. RNAcentral describes it as "tRNA-Arg". Lineage: Bacteria; Pseudomonadati; Pseudomonadota; Gammaproteobacteria; Pseudomonadales; Pseudomonadaceae. The record is from RNAcentral.